This is a long non-coding RNA of Daphnia pulicaria, 164 nucleotides long. RefSeq lists it as uncharacterized. The transcript has 3 exons. NCBI's taxonomy places the organism in Eukaryota, Metazoa, Arthropoda, Branchiopoda, Diplostraca, Daphniidae. The record is from RefSeq and is a predicted model, not a curated record.
UUUUAGGCAAAGUCUCCUGUAAACCUUUUUUGGCUACGAUUCAAUACGCCGACAAUUAUUUGAACCUAGUUUACAUAGCCUGAUUGUAUUGGCCUUAUGAUUUACUCCUCGUGUUUCGUUAUCUCACCUGAUGACAAGCCCAAAACCGCAAAUGGCUCGUCGCA